CUACGGGAUGCAGCAGUGAGGAAUAUUGCGCAAUGGGGGAAACCCUGACGCAGCGACGCCGCGUGGAUGAUGAAGGCCUUAGGGUCGUAAAAUCCUGUCAGGUGAGAAGAAGUGGAUAUAGAUUAAUACUCUAUUUCUUUGACGGUACCACCAAAGGAAGCACCGGCUAACUCCGUGCCGGCAGCCGCGGUAAUACGGAGGGUGCAAACGUUGUUCGGAAUUACUGGGCGUAAAGCGCGCGUAGGCGGUUUGUUAAGUCAGAUGUGAAAGUCCAUGGCUCAACUAGGGAAGUGCAUUUGAAACUGGCAGACUUGAGUACUGGAGGGGGUGAUGGAAUUCCCGGUGUAGAGGUGAAAUUCGUAGAUAUCGGGAGGAAUACCGGUGGCGAAGGCGAUCACCUGGCCAGAUACUGACGCUGAGGUGCGAAAGCGUGGGGAGCAAACAGGAUUAGAUACCCCUGUAGUC
RNAcentral lists this ribosomal RNA (465 nucleotides) under uncultured bacterium. Its description in RNAcentral is "partial 16S ribosomal RNA". It matches the Rfam family "Bacterial small subunit ribosomal RNA", at positions 339 to 795 of the family's 1533-position model. The record is from RNAcentral.